This 991-nucleotide ribosomal RNA is filed under the name Chryseobacterium nepalense. Its description in RNAcentral is "bacterial SSU rRNA". It matches the Rfam family "Bacterial small subunit ribosomal RNA", at positions 100 to 1106 of the family's 1533-position model. The record is from RNAcentral. Lineage: Bacteria; Pseudomonadati; Bacteroidota; Flavobacteriia; Flavobacteriales; Weeksellaceae.
GUACGGGUGCGGAACACGUGUGCAACGUGCCUUUAUCAGGGGGAUAGCCUUUCGAAAGGAAGAUUAAUACCCCAUAAUAUAUAGAGUGGCAUCACUUUAUAUUGAAAACUGAGGUGGAUAAAGAUGGUGCACGCGCAAGAUUAGAUACUUGGUGAGGUAACGGCUCACCAAGUCGAUGAUCUUUAGGGGGCCUGACAGGGUGAUCCCCCACACUGGUACUGAGACACGGACCACACUCCUACGGGAGGCAGCAGGGAGGAAUAUUGGACAAUGGGUUAUCGCCUGAUCCACCCAUCCCGCGGGAAGGACGACGGCCCUAUGGGUUGUAAACUUCUUUUGUACAGGGAUAAACCUAUUUACGUGUAAAUAUCUGAAGGUACUGUACGAAUAGGCACCGGCUAACUCCGUGCCAGCAGCCGCGGCAAUACGGAGGGUGCAAGCGUUAUCCGGAUUUAUUGGGUUUAAAGGGCCCGUAGGCGGAUCUGUAAGUCAUUGGUGAAAUCUCACAGCUUAACUGUGAAACUGCCAUGGAUACUGCAGGUCUUGAGUAAUGUAGAAGUGGCUGGAAUAAGUAGUGUACCGGUGAAAUGCAUAUAUAUUACUUACAACACCGAUUGCUAAUGCAGGUCACUAUGUCUUAACUGACGCUGAUGGACGAGAGCGUGGGGAGCGAACAGGAUUAGAUACCCUGGUACUCCACGCUGUCUACGAUGCUAACUCGUUUUUGGGUUAUCGGAUUCACAGACUAAUCGAUAGUGAUAAGUUAGCCACCUGGCGAGUACGAACGCAAGCUUUGAAACUCACACGAAUUGACGGCGGCCCGCCUAGCGGUGGAUUAUGUGGAUUAAUUCGAUGAUACGCUAGGAACCUUACCAUGGCUUAGAUGGCAAUUGAUCAGUUUACAAAUACACCUUCCUUCGGGCAUUCUCAAGUGCUGCAUGNNUGGCUUAUCUCGUGCCAUGAAAGGUUACGUCAGUACUGCACCAUCCUA